UAGGGAAUCUUCCACAAUGGACGCAAGUCUGAUGGAGCAACGCCGCGUGAGUGAAGAAGGUUUUCGGAUCGUAAAGCUCUGUUGUUGGUGAAGAAGGAUAGAGGCAGUAACUGGUCUUUAUUUGACGGUAAUCAACCAGAAAGUCACGGCUAACUACGUGCCAGCAGCCGCGGUAAUACGUAGGUGGCAAGCGUUGUCCGGAUUUAUUGGGCGUAAAGCGAGCGCAGGCGGAAUGAUAAGUCUGAUGUGAAAGCCCACGGCUCAACCGUGGAACUGCAUCGGAAACUGUCAUUCUUGAGUGCAGAAGAGGAGAGUCGAAUUCCAUGUGUAGCGGUGGAAUGCGUAGAUAUAUGGUAGACCACCAGUGGCGAAGGCGGCUCUCUGGUCUGCAACUGACGCUGAGGCUCGAAAGCAUGGGUAGCGAACAGG
This 429-nucleotide ribosomal RNA is filed under the name bacterium. RNAcentral's name for it is "partial 16S ribosomal RNA". It matches the Rfam family "Bacterial small subunit ribosomal RNA", at positions 355 to 776 of the family's 1533-position model. The record is from RNAcentral.